Molecule: long non-coding RNA, 591 nt
Organism: Ornithodoros turicata
Lineage: Eukaryota; Metazoa; Arthropoda; Arachnida; Ixodida; Argasidae
Exons: 4
Source: RefSeq, a predicted model, not a curated record
UUGAGGCAACAUGCGAUAGCGUUCGCCAUUUCCACUCCUCCUCGGCGCUGUUUAAAAUUUGAGCCAAUUGCAGACCGCAUAGUCUGUCACGAUUGAGUUCUAUAUAAAGCCAAUUCCAGUUAUAGCACGAAGUCUCGCAAACGCCAGCAGUAACGCCACAUCAUGAAGGUCGUUGCUUUUUUCGUCGCUUUUAGCGCCCUUGUGGCCGUCGCUACUCCAAAGUGUUCCUUGUCUGGCAUUGUGUCUCAGCACGUUGAGUCGUGCGCAAAGGAUCUGCGUGUUUUGGGAUACUACGUUGCGAUCGACAGGAACACCGAUGUCACGGAUCCCGCCAUCCGCCAGAAAUUGUGCUGCGGCGCCAGAUUAGCGGAGAAUUGCUUGAAGCCAAAACUUGCGGGGACCGACUGCUUCGACCCCGUAGUCGCGUUUGUCAGAUACAGCCUUCAACGCGCAAGCCGCCUCGACUUUGAGAGUGAUUGCGGCGGCGAGGCUGUUCAGUGCGCCUUCUGAGAAGCCAGGCAGACUUGAACAACAAGAAGAACAAAAUCCCUCUCUUUCUUGACGCAUAAAUGCACAUGCAUUUGCUCUGCA